UAUAGUAAAAUGACCCAAAGUAUACUUUUGCUUCUUUCCAGAAAAUUCAUUUUCUCAUUACAGUGACUACAUUUUUGACCUUUGGUUUCUCUGGUUCGUUUGUUUCUAUCACAUUGUCUCCUGCAAUUAGCGUAGAUUUCUCAUUUCUCCAUCUGAUUUGUUUCUCUAUCCAUAGCUAAUUUGGAGAUUUUACUGUCCACCGGUUAGCUUUCUAGCAUUUGGCCAUUCCUCCUUUUUACUUGUUUUUGUUACUUGUAGUUGUAAUUUUGUUUCUUGGAGCUUAAAUAUCUUAGCUUAAUUCUUUGUUGAUCCUUUCUUGGUUCUUCUGUUUAAGCUUAAAAUCUCAAUUUUUUCUUGUUUUGCAAUUCCAAGAUUGUGACUUUAUUACUUCUUGAAGUGUUUGAGUUUGUGGGAAUUCUUACUUUUUACUUGCUUUGUUACUUGUUAGUUCUGUUUCUGUUUUCUUGAUAAUUUGCUCUUGUUUAAGUGUAUUUUCCUUGUUAUUAAAAAGUUUGUAACUCUACUUUUCUUUCUUAAAAAUCUCACCGUUUCUUGUUUUGCAAUUCCAAGGUUGUGAGUUUUUGUCUUUUUGAGUUAUUUGGAUUUGUGGGAAUUCCUCCUUUUCAUUUGUUUUUGUUACUUGUCAGUUGUAAUUUUAGUUUCCUGAUAAUUUACUCUUAUUUCUUUUCCCUUUGUAAUGGUCUAGUUCUUUGUAUUUUUUCUUUCACUUCUUGUUAUAACAAUAAAGUUCUUAACUUUGCUUCUGUCCUUUUGAUUAAAUGAUUUUUAUGGAUCCUUGUUGAAAUUGAAUUUUUGAUUUCAUGGGACUCUGUCAUGAAAAAUCUAUUCAAUCCCCAUAGAACUUGUCUGAAUAUCCUAUAAUUCCCAUUGAUAAUGAGCAAUAAUUGAAUUCCCACACUGGGAAAACACCAAAGAUUUUCCUUUUACAGUCCAAGUCCUUUUCCUAGUGCAUUUAAGAACUCCCCUGCUAAUUCUAAUGUGACUUCAACACCUUUGAGAUUUCUCAAACAUGUACCGCCAUCACAGGCUAAGCACAUAAGGGCAUUGUUUGCUAGAAGGCAUGACUUAAUUAAGCCUAAUAAAGCUACAAUUCCAGAAGUGAGUGAAUAUGAUAUUAUGUUGGAUAAGAAUUUUGGGUACUCAAAGAAUUUUGAUAGCCACUAUGAGCUUGAAGAAGAAGUGGGAAGAGGACAUUUUGGUUAUACUUCUGCAGCUAAGGAAGAAAAGGGUGCUUGAAGGGGCAUGGUUUGGCUGUAAAAGUUAUUCCAAAAUCAAAGAUUUGCCCUUUUAUGCUAAGUUUCUUAAUUAACGUGGAGCUAGGAUUAUUUGAUGACCGUGCGUACUUUUAAAUUCUGAAAGAGUUUACCAUGAAUUGUCUGCAAUACUUGAAGGAGAAUCAGAUUUGGACUUUGCAUCUGUGAUGGUUCAGGUUUUGCUAAUUUGCUUAGUUGUCAAGAGAAUAUCACCAUUUCCAAUAUAGAGUGUAAACGAUAUAGAGUUCACACUUUGCUUUAUUUAAUUAAUUUCAUGUGAUUACAAAACUGUCAAGCUCAGUCUUGAGAUAUUGUUAUCUGGGGCUUAAAAUGUAUGGCGCUUAAUGUUGUCUUCGUAGUAAGCUGAGUGUGCUGAUGUUUGUUUCAGACUUUAAACUUGCUUACUUCACCUGAGUUGUCUGACCUUAAGGAUCAUCUUAAACAAUCACUGGUCAAAGAUGUUGGGAGAGACUUGUUUCUUUCUUUGUACGCAUCUUGGUGCCAUUCACCAAUGGCAAUGAUAAGCCUCUGCCUAUUAGCUCAGGUAAGCCUUACAGCCUGCAACUUUUCAGGCACUCCUCAUACUUGUAUCAAACAUUUGUUUCCUUUUUUUUUACACUGAAUAUAAUGAGCUCCAUCCUUGUAACAGUCAUAUCAGCAUGCAAGUUCUGUUAUUUAGUCUUUGGUAGAAGAAGAUAUCAGUGUGAAGUUCUUAGUGCAACUACAUAGGUUGAUCCACCUUCUGGAGACUUCAACCUUUGCUUACCUUAGGCUCCAAGUGUUUUGAAUUUUCCUUUUUAUUGACCGUGAAACAUAUUAAUGGACAUUUUUCUUAAGUUUAGCUAAAGGUUGGAUUUUUACUACUAAUAAAAAGGGGUUGGACUUUUGCUAUUUCUGAGUAAUGCAAAAGAAUUGAAAUUCUUAGAGUUUAGAAAUUUUAUUGAAGGUGAUUAUUGCACAAUAUGAAGGUUUUGAACACAAAUAUAAAGUUUAUUGUAUUCCUCCUAAAAAUAAGCUAAAGAUAGAAUUUUUACUGCUUUUCAGAAAAGGAAAAAAGUAGAGAUGAUUGGAUUUUACAGUUUCUAAGUGAUCCAAAGGUUUUGAGGUUGUUGGAAAAAAUAAAUUUUACUAAAGGUGAUUAUUAUAAGACGUUAAAAUUUUGAACAGGAAUAUAUAUUGAAUGUAGUUGCCCUAAAUUUUUAGCUAAAGGUCAAAUUUUGCUGCUUCUAAAUGUUGCAAAGAUUUUGAUUAUGUAGAAAGUUAAUAUUUACUAAGGUGAUUAUUGUAGGAGAUUAGCUUUGUAAAGAUGAUUGGUUUCACCUCUUAUGUAUAAGUGCAAAGGUAAAUACCGUACUACUUUAAACUAAAUUAUUUGUUCUCAAGUAUGUCUGUUGAACUCAGAGACCUAACACAACAACUUAAUUGAAUUGAAUUACCAAAAUUAAUUUGCAUAAUUAUAAUGGAUCAAAAGGUCAUAACAGGAAGGCCUAGUGGUUGAGGCUUGCGAAUAACAACUUAGACAUCUCAAGUUUGAAUCCUAGAUUGAACACUUGGUGAACCCACCUGCUCUAACCAGCUGAUCUACCACUUAAUAUAAAGAAUCAAUUCGAUUAAAAAGAUCCUUUUCAUCUAAUGGAAUUUUCUGUGAAUCAGGAAUGUUAAACGACAAAUUUGGUUGGUGACCUAAAUCGAGGCUCCUGUCUGUUUGAAUGUACAACCCAUCGACACCCCACAUAUCACUGGGUGCAUGUUAUGACAUUUAUGGAAAUAGCUUUCAACAGUUGGGGUAACCUCAAAUCCACGCUAGUUUCCAACCAAAUUAGUCAUUUGUUUCCCCAAUUCUCAAUAGAUAUCCUUUAUGCUUCUGUUCUUGAGUAUUAUUGUUUCACUUGCAUUUCCUUGACUGUUAGUCUCUAGAUCUGUAUGAAGUGAUGAGAUUUCACCCUUGAGUUUCAUUAGCUUAAUCCUGAGAAUUGUGGACUGAAUCACCACUAGAAAGCAUGUUGCUGCUCUUUGCUUGAAUUUAGUCGAACGGUGUCCUAUUGUUUCUUUUGUAGUUGUUGUCACUGUUGUAGUCGAUUAGUGUAUCAAUAUACUACUGUCCUGAUGGUUUGUGGAA
Capsicum annuum is the source of this 3393-nucleotide long non-coding RNA. RefSeq lists it as uncharacterized. The record is from RefSeq and is a predicted model, not a curated record. Lineage: Eukaryota; Viridiplantae; Streptophyta; Magnoliopsida; Solanales; Solanaceae. The transcript has 2 exons.